GUGGGGAAUAUUGCGCAAUGGGGGCAACCCUGACGCAGCCAUGCCGCGUGUGUGAAGAAGGCCUUCGGGUUGUAAAGCACUUUCAAUGGGGAAGAAAAGCGUAGCGUUAAUAGCGUUGCGCCGUGACGUUACCCAUAGAAGAAGCACCGGCUAACUCCGUGCCAGCAGCCGCGGUAAUACGGAGGGUGCGAGCGUUAAUCGGAAUUACUGGGCGUAAAGCGCGCGUAGGCGGUUUGUUAAGUCAGCUGUGAAAGCCCCGGGCUUAACCUGGGAACUGCAGUUGAUACUGGCCGACUAGAGUACGAGAGAGGGAGGUAGAAUUCCAUGUGUAGCGGUGAAAUGCGUAGAUAUAUGGAGGAAUACCGGUGGCGAAGGCGGCCUCCUGGCUCGAUACUGACGCUGAGGUGCGAAAGCGUGGGGAUCAAACAGGAUUAGAAACCCCAGUAGUCC
This 450-nucleotide ribosomal RNA is filed under the name uncultured bacterium. RNAcentral describes it as "bacterial SSU rRNA". It matches the Rfam family "Bacterial small subunit ribosomal RNA", at positions 354 to 796 of the family's 1533-position model. The record is from RNAcentral.